UUAGGCCAGUUAACAUCUACGGCUCUCCCCUGUUUUGUUGAGGCUAGCUACGUUUGUUUUUGAGUGCUUAGACUGUACAAUAAAUGAAAGACGUGCUGGGGAACUCGGCCUGGACUCCUGUGACUCGCUCUGAAGGAAGAAAGAUAGGUAAAUAAACGUGGGUAUCACCCUAGAGCGGUUAGCUCUAGCCCAAGGAACUACAAGUUCCACUGGUUCCUGUCUACGGCCGGGAGAAACAACUGCCAGAGAAAAAAAAGGCUUCAGUGGCCUGCUGUGUGUUUCGCUAUGAACAUUUGUGAGCACCCUGCCAGGAAUCCAGAUAUAUACCAUUUGUGGCUCUGAUGCAGUGUAAAGACUGCAAGUUUUCCCACCCUGAUUCUGAGGUUUUACUUAAGCAUUACCAUCUUCGUCAUGGACAAGGGCGUCCAGGGAGAAAGUGGCCCUGCCUAAACAUCCAUGCCUUGAAGAACGUGGCACAGUUUCAGGUUGGGAUGGCUGGGUGAUGAGCAUUAAAUUUAAACUACUGUGCAAAAUUGCGGGAUGCUGGAUGCUUGGAAGUGAAUAUCAACUGGAAAAGAGGAAGAGGUGAGGGUGAAGGGCUGAAGGCACGCAUGAAGAAAUCUAAAAGAGCAGAGGUCAACUUUUUACCUGAUCACCCAGAAGGCCAGACAGAUGAAUCUCUUGAAAAUGAAAGAGUUGCCAUUGCUGAAGAAACUCGGAAAAAGAGGAUAGAUGCAACACUUAUUCCUCGGAAGAUGGAAGCAUCAUUCUCUCUUCGGCGCAAGGAGGUCGUAGAGGUUGAACCACUUGUUGAAGAGAUCAGGGAGAGGUGGUCUGCGCUUUUUUAUGAGGAGGAGAUCUGCAGGGAGUUCUUUCGAAUCACAAACAUUAACCUGCUGAGCACAUUUAUAGGAUCUCUAGACAAAUAUACAGCACCUUUGCUGAAGCUGUAUAGAAGGUGCAGGGAGGCGUUUGGGCAGGAAGUUAAGAUACUUUUGGAGAACCUGGAUGAACAGGAAACAGAUGCUGAAGACCACUACACCAAAGAUGUACAGAUUGGAAUUCUUUCUGUAAUGAAAGAUAACGUAGCUGCUGCAACAUCUCUGCCAAAAGUCACAAACAUUGCAAUUAUCCUGAAGGAGGCUGUUGUUCUUCGGGACAUUGUUGAUCUGCCAACAGCAUUUGCGUACUUGUUUGGACUUCUGUAUGCCAUUAAUAUGGAAUAUCCCCAAGAGCUAAAGUACACCUUUGAGGCGAUACAGAAGAUUUUCAGGGAUCUUGGUGGAUCUUGCUCUGCAAGAGUACAGUCUCUCAAGAUUAAACUUUGCUAAGUGGACAGGUCUUUGCAUGCUUAAUCCUCCACUCUACCCAGGGUCAUUGACUCCUUUUCCUGAACACUACAAAUGGUUCUGCAUUACACCUGGUUGCAUUACACAGCUAUCAAGUUUUUUCAGUAGUUAACAUAGAAAAUUUGAGUAGUUUGAUCAGUGGAGUCGAUAGCUUUUUUGCUCAUUUUUGUUUUUUACUAAAAAAGCGUAGUGCAAGUCGAGUUUUGCUGUAAAAAGCAGUUUGAAUUUCUAAACAGUUCAGUUUGCGUGUUUGCAAAGUGUUGUGAAAUGUAUUGGCUGUGUCACAUCAACAAAGAACUGUGUUCCUGUGGUUAAAUCCAUCCAGCUUACUGAAGAAAUGUCUGCUAAGUGCCCUUCAAUGUGCUAUAAACCUAUAGAUCUGCUUAGUGCUUCCUGAAUUUAGAAUACAUUUUUUUGGUUGCAUUACACAGCUCUCUUUUUCAGUAAUUAACAUACAUUUGUGUGAGUAAUCGAACAGUGCAAGUUAU
Pygocentrus nattereri (red-bellied piranha) is the source of this 1837-nucleotide RNA transcript. RefSeq lists it as uncharacterized. The record is from RefSeq and is a predicted model, not a curated record. NCBI's taxonomy places the organism in Eukaryota, Metazoa, Chordata, Actinopteri, Characiformes, Serrasalmidae. The transcript has 6 exons.